UACGAAGGGGGCUAGCGUUGUUCGGAAUUACUGGGCGUAAAGGGUGCGUAGGUGGCGCCGCAAGUCAGAAGUGAAAGCCCUGGGCUCAACCCGGGAAUUGCUUUUGAGACUGUGGUGCUCGAGUUCGGAAGAGGUGAGUGGAAUUCCCAGUGUAGAGGUAAAAUUCGUAGAUAUUGGGAGGAACACCGGUGGCGAAAGCGGCUCACUGGUCCGAUACUGACACUGAGACACGAAAGCGUGGGGAGCAAACAGG
RNAcentral lists this ribosomal RNA (253 nucleotides) under uncultured bacterium. RNAcentral describes it as "partial 16S ribosomal RNA". It matches the Rfam family "Bacterial small subunit ribosomal RNA", at positions 524 to 776 of the family's 1533-position model. The record is from RNAcentral.